UUUCGCAAUGCCCGAAAGGGUGACGAAGCGACGCCGCGUGGGUGAGGAAGGCCUUCGGGUUGUAAAGCCCUGUCAGGAGUUAAGAAAUAUAGGUAUGCUAAUAUCGUAUCUAUUUGACAAAGGCUCCAAAGGAAGCCACGGCUAACUCUGUGCCAGCAGCCGCGGUAAUACAGAGGUGGCAAGCGUUGUUCGGAAUUAUUGGGCGUAAAGAGCACGUAGGUGGAUUUGUAAGUCAGAUGUGAAAGCCUUCUGUUCAACGGGAGAAUUGCAUCUGAAACUAUAAACCUUGAGUAUAGGAGGGGAGAAUGGAACUUCUGGUGGAGCGGUGAAAUGCGUAGAUAUCAGAAGGAACGCCGGCGGCGAAAGCGAUUCUCUGGCCUAUUACUGACACUCAGUGUGCGAAAGCUAGGGGAGCAAACGGGAUUAGAUACCCCGGUAGUCCUAGCCGUAAACGACGGGCACUAAGUAGAGGGGUUUUA
Molecule: ribosomal RNA, 479 nt
Filed under: uncultured anaerobic ammonium-oxidizing bacterium
Lineage: Bacteria
Description: bacterial SSU rRNA
Rfam family: Bacterial small subunit ribosomal RNA
Source: RNAcentral